CAUUUGUUAAGGAGUACAAAACAAUUAUACAUCCAGGGGAGUGAACAGGAACUUUGUAGUGUAGGCGGUUGGCAGCAGUCCAGUAUUAUUUAGUAGAGCCUUGUUCACCACUGGGUAAGUCCAGUGAUGAUUUUACCUGCGGUACAGUUCAUAUCGGAUCGAGCUAAACUUGUUUUGCCAGAAUGCAAUUCUAGGAUGGUUUUACCUGUUAAGUAUCAUGUAGUAGAGCCUUGUUCACUGCCAGGUAAGUUUCAUUAUGAUGAUUUUCCCUAUGGUACAGUUCAUAUCGGAUCGAACUGGAUGAAAUCACAUGGUCAACAUGUCGAUGAUUGUCGGAAUGGUAUACACUGGCCUGCACCGACCUGUAUGGGCAAUGUUUAAAACCUUGCAGCAUUCCGAAUGCAUGGGACUUAAAUGUUCCAUUGGUGCUGAUGGAACAUUUUAGUUUUCUAAGGGUAAUAAACAAUUAUACUUCAUUUGUCCUAAAGUUUGGUAUCAUUUGAUUGUGGCAAUGCAUUGCCCCUUUAGUGAUGCACACAAGCAUGCGAUGAUGGUAAGCACUCGAAGCCUUCUUCACUUGUUUACACGCUGCUUUUAUCCCUAUUAUAACUUUUGUGGUUGUUCAUUGUAGGGUCAUCACCUCAUGACCCCGACCCUAGACCGUGCUUGGGACACUUCAAUCGCAAUGUUGGCUCUCCCAAAGGGCAAGCCAAUGCCUCCAUGGCGACAAGGCUCUCAAAGCUACAACAGCAAUUGGAGGUAGAGAAACAUGCGACAUAUGAUGCUCAGGCCGAUCAAUGUUGUUACCAUGACAUGGCAUUGAAGUCCUAGUUUGAAGUCUGAUGAUCUCCACCAUGUGGUGAAGGACCACUGUGGACAACUUGAAGAUGAAGAGGCUCAUCGUCUCGACUACAAGACCCAAGGGGGCAUAUUUGGAAGGACACAUGAAAUAUUAGUAAUGUCUUGGAGUAUUGAAAUGUAUUAGCUGAAACAUGGAGCCCAUUAAAAAUUAUCCAUUUAAUAAAAAUAUAAAAUCUAAAUUGCAACAGCUUGUUGAAUGAUAUGUUUGGGCAUGUGAUAGCA
Molecule: non-coding RNA, 1083 nt
Organism: Musa acuminata subsp. malaccensis (wild Malaysian banana)
Lineage: Eukaryota; Viridiplantae; Streptophyta; Magnoliopsida; Zingiberales; Musaceae
Source: RefSeq, a predicted model, not a curated record